RNAcentral lists this long non-coding RNA (471 nucleotides) under Marmota monax (woodchuck). The record is from RNAcentral. Lineage: Eukaryota; Metazoa; Chordata; Mammalia; Rodentia; Sciuridae.
AAAGGAUCCUACUCGGGAAUCAAAUGCAAAGAGCCCAGGAGGAUCGUUCUAGACCAGGAUCAGAAACUACCCACUUAGUUGGAAGGAAUAGGUUAGAGGGCCGAGGCAGGAAAAUAGAGUUUCUAGAAUGUCUGUGAUAUAUAUGAGAAUUUUGCAAAUUUAUUAUAGCUCUUUAAUAUUAGAACAUUUGGAAAAGAUUAAUCAUAGGCAUAGGAAAAAACUCUAAGCAAAUGAAAAAAUAACAAGAAAUGAUUAACACUAGGAAAAACAUAAAGUCGUAUAAGAAGGAAAAAUACUCAAUAUAUACUCAUAAUAAUACAAAUGUUAACCAGUGAGUUAGUCAAAAAUUGGGUUAUACUUAUAUUGGUAGAAUAGAGAAAGGGGAGAGAUAUUGGUAUAAGAAUGCUAAGAUUUCAACUAUCAUAGGAGUGGACAGUAUUAAAAGCAAAUGAAUCUAGAAGUAGUGUCAUA